This 511-nucleotide ribosomal RNA is filed under the name uncultured bacterium. RNAcentral describes it as "bacterial SSU rRNA". It matches the Rfam family "Bacterial small subunit ribosomal RNA", at positions 9 to 513 of the family's 1533-position model. The record is from RNAcentral.
GAGUUUGAUCAUGGCUCAGAUUGAACGCUGGCGGCAGGCCUAACACAUGCAAGUCGGGCGGUAGAGAGAAGCUUGCUUCUCUUGAGAGCGGCGGACGGGUGAGUAAUGCCUAGGAAUCUGCCUGGUAGUGGGGGAUAACGCUCGGAAACGGACGCUAAUACCGCAUACGUCCUACGGGAGAAAGCAGGGGACCUUCGGGCCUUGCGCUAUCAGAUGAGCCUAGGUCGGAUUAGCUAGUUGGUGAGGUAAUGGCUCACCAAGCCGACGAUCCGUAACUGGUCUGAGAGGAUGAUCAGUCACACUGGAACUGAGACACGGUCCAGACUCCUACGGGAGGCAGCAGUGGGGAAUAUUGGACAAUGGGCGAAAGCCUGAUCCAGCCAUGCCGCGUGUGUGAAGAAGGUCUUCGGAUUGUAAAGCACUUUAAGUUGGGAGGAAGGGCAGUAAAUUAAUACUUUAGUCUGUUUUGACGUUACCGACAGAAUAAGCACCGGCUAACUCUGUGCCAGCA